RNAcentral lists this long non-coding RNA (1466 nucleotides) under Coffea arabica (coffee). Its description in RNAcentral is "long non-coding RNA (CARA_LNC003537)". Lineage: Eukaryota; Viridiplantae; Streptophyta; Magnoliopsida; Gentianales; Rubiaceae. The record is from RNAcentral.
UUUAAAAUAAAAAAAAGGGAAGCCUAAGCUUUGGUAGUUUGCUGAGGUGAUUGUGUCAUUCAUAUUUUGAUUAUUACGUCUGGAAAUGUUAUACGGUCUUUUUUACUACCACAUAUGUUUAAUAAGAAAAUUCUUUGUAUUCUUCUUUAGUUACCGAAAGUGUUACCAACUAUUUUUUCAGGUUUGAUAAGUAAUUACCUUUAUGUUAUUCUAUAAUUUGUGUAACUCCGGAUUUCCUUCAUACAAGCCUUCAAAUUACUAAUCAAUAUAUUAUUUAAUUGUUUGAGAAUAUAUAAAUAGCAAUAUGUAGCUCUUUUUUUUUUCUAAUUUCAGCUAAAAUGCAAAAAGAGUUGGGCUAUUACCAGCAAAAGUAAUAGUCUCCAAUGACGAAAUAUUUAACACCCCCAAUGGCAAAGGACAGGAAAUCUGAUUGUUAAUUGUUGAUGUUCACUAUCUUCAAUUUGUUUAGAUUCCGAAUCUCUAUUAGAAUUGUCCCUCGUAGAGAAUUGAUGUUUCUAGCUUUGGUGACAUGAGAUUUUAUAUUCAAGCACCGUGAUUCAUUAGCUUUGAAAUAUUUAUUCUAAAAUAUAAAACAAAGUUACAUUAGAUUACGGACUUUGUGAUGCAUACCAAGGUCAAGGGAUACUUAUUAAUACACGCAACUUAUUAUGUCAAGCCAUGUGAGUCCUUGAAGACGGGGACAUAUGCUGGAUGGAAGACUGCCAGAUAAGCGAUUAUUUUGAAGGGCAAUACCUUUUUUUUUUUUUUUUGACACUGUGGAUAUCCGGAACCACCCGACUAAUCCCACAGCGUCCAGGCAGAGCGGGCCCGAUCGAUGCCUAGGACAUACACAAUUGGAUUGCGGACUGGAAUCGAACCCAGGUGAACUUGGAGUAAAGACCCCGCCUCCACCAUCCGAACAACCCAGCGCGGGCAGCGAGGAAAUAUUGAACAGCCCCAGUGGCAGAAACCCUGAAAGCUGAUUAUAGUCCAGGACAAUUCGCUUCAACUUUUUUAAUUUCCCAAUCUCCAUUGGAAUUGUCCCUUGCAAAGAUUUAAAUGACAGUUUAUAUACUCUUAAUGUCUCUAGCUUUGGUGACAUGAGAUUUUACAUUCAAGCACCCAGUAAUUAAUAGUAUAUCAAAUAGUUAGGAAGGUACCGUGUAAAUUGUUCCCAUCAAGAUAUAGUCGCUCGAGCGCCGUCAAGUUCCCAAAUCCUUCCGGUAUCACUCCAAUCAAAUUGUUCCAGCCAAGACUUAGUCCCUUGAGCGCCGUCAAGUUCCCAAAUCCUUCCGGUAUCACUCCACUAAAGUUGUUGUGAAACAACAACAGUACCUGAAGCUUCGAACACUCCGAUAACGAUGGUGGUAUCACACCACUUAAUUUGUUGCGGCCAAGGUCAAGCCAUGUGAGUCCUUGAAGACGGGAACAUAUGCUGGAUGGAAGACUGCCAGAUAAGCUAUUAU